AUACGGAGGGUGCAAGCGUUACUCGGAAUCACUGGGCGUAAAGCGCGCGCAGGCGGUCUUUUAAGUUGGAUGUGAAAGCCUACGGCUCAACCGUAGAACUGCAUCCAAAACUAUUAGGCUAGAGUGUGGGAGAGGAAGAUGGAAUUAGUUGUGUAGGGGUAAAAUCCGUAGAGAUAACUAGGAAUACCAAAAGCGAAGGCAAUCUUCUGGAACACUACUGACGCUGAGGCGCGAAAGCGUGGGGAGCAAACAGGAUUAGAAACCCCGGUAGUCC
This 274-nucleotide ribosomal RNA is filed under the name uncultured bacterium. Its description in RNAcentral is "partial 16S ribosomal RNA". It matches the Rfam family "Bacterial small subunit ribosomal RNA", at positions 523 to 796 of the family's 1533-position model. The record is from RNAcentral.